UGGGGAAUAUUGCACAAUGGGCGCAAGCCUGAUGCAGCCAUGCCGCGUGUGUGAAGAAGGCCUUCGGGUUGUAAAGCACUUUCAGCGGGGAGGAAGGCGAUAAGGUUAAUAACCUUGUCGAUUGACGUUACCCGCAGAAGAAGCACCGGCUAACUCCGUGCCAGCAGCCGCGGUAAUACGGAGGGUGCAAGCGUUAAUCGGAAUUACUGGGCGUAAAGCGCACGCAGGCGGUCUGUCAAGUCGGAUGUGAAAUCCCCGGGCUCAACCUGGGAAUUGCAUCUGAUACUGGUCAGCUAGAGUCUUGUAGAGGGGGGUAGAAUUCCAUGUGUAGCGGUGAAAUGCGUAGAGAUGUGGAGGAAUACCGGUGGCGAAGGCGGCCCCCUGGACAAAGACUGACGCUCAGGUGCGAAAGCGUGGGGAGCAAACAGG
This 429-nucleotide ribosomal RNA is filed under the name Chloroflexota bacterium. RNAcentral describes it as "Chloroflexi bacterium partial 16S ribosomal RNA". It matches the Rfam family "Bacterial small subunit ribosomal RNA", at positions 355 to 776 of the family's 1533-position model. The record is from RNAcentral. Lineage: Bacteria; Bacillati; Chloroflexota.